CAGCCGCCACGGUAAUACGGAGGGUGCAAGCGUUAAUCGGAAUUACUGGGCGUAAAGCGCACGCAGGCGGUUUGUUAAGUCAGAUGUGAAAUCCCCGAGCUUAACUUGGGAACUGCAUUUGAAACUGGCAAGCUAGAGUCUUGUAGAGGGGGGUAGAAUUCCAGGUGUAGCGGUGAAAUGCGUAGAGAUCUGGAGGAAUACCGGUGGCGAAGGCGGCCCCCUGGACAAAGACUGACGCUCAGGUGCGAAAGCGUGGGGAGCAAACAGGAUUAGAUACCCGCGUAGUCCCUGUCUCUUAUAU
RNAcentral lists this ribosomal RNA (301 nucleotides) under uncultured bacterium. RNAcentral describes it as "partial 16S ribosomal RNA". It matches the Rfam family "Bacterial small subunit ribosomal RNA", at positions 509 to 809 of the family's 1533-position model. The record is from RNAcentral.